Molecule: unclassified non-coding RNA, 845 nt
Filed under: uncultured Synechococcus sp.
Lineage: Bacteria; Bacillati; Cyanobacteriota; Cyanophyceae; Synechococcales; Synechococcaceae
Description: partial may contain 16S ribosomal RNA, 16S-23S ribosomal RNA intergenic spacer, and 23S ribosomal RNA
Rfam family: tRNA (bases 343-415)
Source: RNAcentral
AAGGUGGGGCUGAUGACUGGGGUGAAGUCGUAACAAGGUAGCCGUACCGGAAGGUGCGGCUGGAUCACCUCCUAACAGGGAGACAAACAACGAUUUUGAUGUCUGAGUUUUUUUAUUCUUAGGCCAAAAUCCUGUCACCUUAGGUCGAUCGGUACCUCAACUUUGAAUCUAAGAGUAUUCAGCAAUGGAUAUCUGCUUAGUGGAGAUUUUUAGUUCCUAAACUUUGUCUAGUUCACAACCCAUUAGGGAUGAGACUCCUGGGCCAUUAGCUCAGGUGGUUAGAGCGCACCCCUGAUAAGGGUGAGGUCCCUGGUUCAAGUCCAGGAUGGCCCAUUCGGUGUAGGGGGUUUAGCUCAGUUGGUAGAGCGCCUGCUUUGCAAGCAGGAUGUCAGGAGUUCGAGUCUCCUAACCUCCACUGACUACCAAAAUCCCCAUCUCCAAAACCUGGAGUAUGAACUCGUAUGGAUUGUGAUUUAGAUGUGUCCGCUAGAUGACCCUAGCUUCUUGUCAUUUUAAGGCAUGGAAAAAAUUCCAUGAUAUUUAAUUGAUAGGAUGCUGGGCUCGAUUCAAUGUAUUGAGAGAUCAAUGCAUUGUUUUGAUGUCUGGUCGAACCUUGACAACUGCAUAGUAAGUCUGGAAAGAAUAAAGCAUCUUUAUGGAUGCAUCAUUCUUGAGUGUUAAUUCACGAUGGGAUGGUGUUAAUUCUAAAGCAAGAGCCGAGACUCCAGCAUGUUCUUUCAAAUGUGUCGAGCAUUUGAGAGUUUGAUUUUAAUUUCUAUUUUUAGAAGUUAGAAGAAUCUGUUUCAACGACAGCAAGCGUGUUGGAGAUACAUUGGUCAAGCUAC